This 1756-nucleotide long non-coding RNA is filed under the name Cottoperca gobio. RNAcentral describes it as "lncRNA (ENSCGOG00000021393.1)". The record is from RNAcentral. Lineage: Eukaryota; Metazoa; Chordata; Actinopteri; Perciformes; Bovichtidae.
ACUGGAUAUGUUUUUAUUUUGUACUGUAUUGCAUUUUGGUAUUAGUAUUUUGCACAUUGUAUUUUUUUUUUCAUUAAAUCAUCAUUAAAUGAGUGGGGGCAGUUUUGGCUCCAUGGUAGUUUUGCUAAGCGCCAGAAAUGACAUCAUGGACACAGACUAAUUGGUCUAAUGAGGCCCUGGUUGCUGCCAAUGACCCCUUAUCAGCUCAGCUUUCAGUGCCACAGCAACAAGAGUGCAUCCACUUAGUUUGCUGGGCUGCCAAAGUGCUGAUUGCCAGGUUUAUAAGGUUUUUGUAGUAAAGACAGUAUUCCCACAGCCGUUUAUAAAUAUGAUUCAGAUAUUUUUCCUUUAAAGAAAAGAAAAAUGGGGAAGCACUCUACUCUACUCGUCACCGCCUCACUUCUGCUAAGGCCAUCCUGCAGGCCUCCCCUCAGCAGAGCAGGGACAAGGAGAUGGUGGACACCGGAUAUUCCAGCUUGCUAUCCAGUUGGCAAUAGUGGCCAACCACCUGCGGCUGCUGGGUGUGUCCUGAUCACAGCUGUAAAAACAGUUCAGCCAGCUCCCCCCCAAUCUAGAGGAUCUCAUUACCACCUUGUCUCCUACUGGGGAUGUUCUCAACCCACAAAUAAGGAGGACUGAGUCACAGCAGGAGGGGUUGACUCAUGUGUGGCUCCCCUCCCCUCUCCUUGACAUCAUGAGCCGAACAGUGGAGGAAAGUGGAACUGCUGACAGGGACUCAUGCUGCAGUUGUCAUGUUGUCUCGAUUCUUUAAACAUGUUGUGUAAAGCACUUUGAAAUGCCUUGAUGAAAUGCCCUACAUAAAUAAACGUGCCUUGCGAGAUUCUUGUAUGGUUCUGAUCAUUCUGGCUGCCAAAAUCAUAAUUGUAAGCGGAGAUGUCUGACUCUAGACAGUUUUUUCAGUACAAGGAAGUACUGUCAAACACAUGAUUGUUGAUAGGCAUGGUUUAUGUUGUUUCUGUGGCUUUGAGAGAGUAAAAAAGGUGUGUGCUCUACUAUUAUAGUAGUAUACCUCAGACAAAAUAUUUCAUGCUAAAGAACAUUAUGAGUUUAAGUCAAGCUACAGCUGUCCAAUUCAGCUCGAUGCACUCGGUCCAUCUAAUGCAAGGUUACUACAUUUGUGCACUCUUUCAGCUGGCUUAUGUGGAAUGCAAUGGAGUGAAAGCAGCUGUUGGAAACUACAGGGAGAGGGUGGUUGGGUUAACACUUGUGCUGCAGCAGCUUCUUUACACACAAAACCCACGAUAGCCCAUUUAUAUUGCGAGACACCACUUGCAAGAAUUCAAAUUGUGUAUUCUGACUUGCUAAGUGGCUGCCAUUUAUCAGGACAAGCUAGGACAACUGAAUGUUUUCCAGUGAGUGGUCCUGAUUUUAAAAUGCUGAAAAUGUCCAAAGAUAAGCUAUGUUGAUCUUAGACGGUAUAAACUAGAUGUGAUACAGUACACAUGUCAUUUUCCCUUCUUGUUUUGAGAACAGCAAUGUUGAUGUAGGCCCUUUGGUGACAUGGCAUCUAAUAUGAAAAUCUAAUUACAUACCGUCUAAGGUCAAAAUGUCCUAAUGUCACUGAGGACCACAGGAUGUGAUAUAAAAAGUUAAUAGUUUCAGUCAAUGCCAUUUUCAAACAUGUCUUUAUAACAGUAAUGAGGAAAUGUUUUAAAACUACGCAUGUUAAAUUAAUUGUACAUAAUGAAAAAAUAUGCAUGCUAUUUAAAUUAAAAAGAAUGAAAUGUGAAAAGUC